RNAcentral lists this ribosomal RNA (253 nucleotides) under uncultured bacterium. Its description in RNAcentral is "partial 16S ribosomal RNA". It matches the Rfam family "Bacterial small subunit ribosomal RNA", at positions 524 to 776 of the family's 1533-position model. The record is from RNAcentral.
UACGUAGGGUGCGAGCGUUGUCCGGAAUUAUUGGGCGUAAAGAGCUCGUAGGCGGUUUGUCGCGUCGACUGUGAAAACCUGGGGCUUAACUCUGGGCCUGCAGUCGAUACGGGCAGACUUGAGUUCGGUAGGGGAGACUGGAAUUCCUGGUGUAGCGGUGAAAUGCGCAGAUAUCAGGAAGAACACCAAUGGCGAAGGCAGCUCUCUGGGACGGUACUGACGCUGAGACGCGAAAGCGUGGGGAGCGAACAGG